RNAcentral lists this ribosomal RNA (1136 nucleotides) under uncultured fungus. Its description in RNAcentral is "eukaryotic LSU rRNA". The stretch from base 503 to 1136 matches the Rfam family "Eukaryotic large subunit ribosomal RNA", at positions 1 to 649 of the family's 3401-position model. The record is from RNAcentral. Lineage: Eukaryota; Fungi.
AAGUCGUAACAAGGUUUCCGUAGGUGAACCUGCGGAAGGAUCAUUAAAAAUGAAGCCGGGAAACCGGUCCUUCUAACCCUUGAUUAUCUUAAUUUGUUGCUUUGGUGGGCCGCGCAAGCACUGGCUUCGGCUAGCUAGUGCCCACCAGAGGACCACAACUCUGUAAUAAAUGUCGUCUGAGUACUAUAAAAUAGUUAAAACUUUCAACAACGGAUCUCUUGGUUCUGGCAUCGAUGAAGAACGCAGCGAAAUGCGAUAAGUAAUGUGAAUUGCAGAAUUCAGUGAAUCAUCGAAUCUUUGAACGCACAUUGCGCCCUCUGGUAUUCCGGAGGGCAUGCCUGUUCGAGCGUCAUAAUGACCAAAUCACCCUAUGGUGGACUUGGAGCUGGCCGUCUGGCCUCUCUCAAAACUAGUGGCGGUGCUCUUAAAAGCUCUACGCGUAGUAANUUUUCUCGCUAUAGGGUCUUAUUAGUACUUGCCAACAACCCCAACUUUCUAAGGUUGACCUCGGAUCAGGUAGGGAUACCCGCUGAACUUAAGCAUAUCAAUAAGCGGAGGAAAAGAAACCAACAGGGAUUACCUCAGUAACGGCGAGUGAAGCGGUAACAGCUCAAAUUUGAAAUCUGGCUCUUUCAGGGUCCGAGUUGUAAUUUGUAGAAGAUGCUUUGAGCAUUGCUCCGGUCUAAGUUCCUUGGAACAGGACGUCAUAGAGGGUGAGAAUCCCGUAUGUGACUGGUGGCAUUUGUUCGUGUAAAGCUCUUUCGACGAGUCGAGUUGUUUGGGAAUGCAGCUCAAAAUGGGUGGUAUAUUUCAUCUAAAGCUAAAUAUUGGCCAGAGACCGAUAGCGCACAAGUAGAGUGAUCGAAAGAUGAAAAGCACUUUGGAAAGAGAGUUAAACAGUACGUGAAAUUGUUGAAAGGGAAGCGCUUGCAACCAGACUUGCAGGUCGUUGAUCAUCCGGGGUUCUCCCCGGUGCACUCGGCGGCUUUCAGGCCAGCAUCGGUUUGAGUGGUGGGAUAAAGGCCUUGGGAAUGUGGCUCCUCUCGGGGAGUGUUAUAGCCCAAGGUGCAAUGCCGCCUACUCGGACCGAGGACCGCGCUUCGGCUAGGAUGCUGGCGUAAUGGUUGUAAGCGACC